Musa acuminata AAA Group (dessert banana) is the source of this 1850-nucleotide RNA transcript. It is a transcript of the gene named nudix hydrolase 2, with no coding region annotated. NCBI's taxonomy places the organism in Eukaryota, Viridiplantae, Streptophyta, Magnoliopsida, Zingiberales, Musaceae. The record is from RefSeq and is a predicted model, not a curated record. The transcript is spliced from 12 exons.
AGAUCGUAGUGUACCCUGUUCUCGAGAGAGCUUUUAUGAGACGCCUCUCUUUCCCCUUCGUUCGAAACAGAGUCGGACGCCACGCAACAGUGUUCGGUUCUAGGAGGGCUGCAAAACUAUUCAGGAACAGAUUUAUGUCGAUUUUAGUGAAUCAGUCAUCCGUUUUGGGUCCAGAAUUGACUGAUGAUGUAGAGGUUGCUCUGCUGUCUGCAGUCGAUGAUGACCAUGGAGGUGUCAUUGUUGAAUUGAAGGAACCAAUGGACCCUGCAGCUUUCCAUACUUCGUUAAGAGCAUCUAUAAGUAAUUGGAAGAAGCAGGUACUGGACCCUUAUUGGUUGUCGGCAUUGGUGUUUCAACGACGAAGAAAGAGAGAAGAGGAAGGGCGGAAGAAGAGGAGUAAGAAGGGAAUAAAGGGUGCUUGGAUUAAAUUGCCUAUUCAACUUGCAAAUCUUGUUGAAGCUUGUGUCAAGGAGGGAUUUUGGUACCACCAUGCAGAACCCAGUUACUUGAUGCUUGUUUGUUGGCUUCCUAAUACCGAACAUACCAUACCUGUAAAUGCCUCACAUAGAGUGGGAGUUGGAGCUUUUGUAAUGAAUGAUAAAAGAGAGGUUUUGGUGGUCCAAGAAAAGAAUGGCAUACUUAGAGGUUUAGGUCUAUGGAAGUUUCCCACAGGAGUUGUUGAACAAGGUGAAGAUAUUCAUGCUGGAGUAAUAAGGGAAGUAAAAGAAGAGACAGGAAUUGACACUGAAUUUAUUGAAGUUCUUGCAUUCAGGCAGAGCCACAAGUCGUUCUUUGGGAAGUCAGAUUUAUUCUUUGUGUGCAUGUUACGCCCUCUUUCACACGACAUUUAUCCUCAAGAAUUAGAGAUCGAAGCUGCCCAGUGGAUGCCAGUGGAGGAAUAUGCAGCACAACCUCUCGUCCAGAAACAUGAGCUAUUAAAGUAUAUUCUUGAUGUCGGCAUGGCAAAGAUCGACAAGGGCUAUUCUGGCUUCUCGCCAGUUUCCGUGAAGGCACCAUUCUCUGGUUCACAGGGCCAUCUCUAUCUAAACAGCAGGGACUUGAACCUGCCAAGAACUGUCAACAUGUCUUAGAGAUGUUAAUUGUCUGUGCCGAGUCUAAAAGAUACAAGUGAUCAAUAACAUGCAUUGAGUUCUAAUAAUACAUGCUUCGUGAAAUGUCACAUGGUAACAGUAUGUAUGGAUGACAACUGAGAAAGAGAAGAUGAGUAGCUCUUAAUGGUCAUCAAUCUUUUGCCUCUUUGGAGCUUGUUCAGACUCAUCACCGUUGCUCCCCACCACCGAGUCUCCCAUUACUUGAUCGAGAGGUGAAUGGUUGCAGUUAUCCUACAAGCACAUCGAUUGAGAGGAUGUUCAGAUAAAAAGAAAAUGAUAAAGUGCAACAAAUUCAACAUUGCUACUGCAUCCUAAGGGUCACUGAGUUAUUCUUGACCACCAAACAAGCAUCAAACAAACAUUAUCGUUUGAAACCUUAUUGAUGGGGCCCGAGUUAAACAAUGGAACUCGAAUGAAGAUUAGUCCGAGACAGCUUUAACCAAGGAGGUACGAAUACCGACAUCCAUGGGUUACCACUAGAGAAAAAGGAUCACAACCGACGAGACCUCGAUACAUCUCUAGUUGCGAUACCAUGUGCAUUCACAAAUUUAAAUGGAAAGCUGGUAGUAAGAACAGAUGAAAAUGAAUACAUAGCAUAUACCUUUGCACUGGACAUAGUAGUAGUGGCAACAGACCUUCUAUUUGCUCGCCUACCUAGAUUGAUCUGAACAGAGAUACUAGCUUGAGACAGAUCCACACCGGAACUUUGCAGUGCUUGUGUUAUCGUUGUUAAAAACC